AAAUGCGAUCGUACUAACUCACAUGCACUGGAAUCGGAUUUCAACAGAACUCCGAAAUUAAACGAGAUUGAGCGAGAGUAGUACUAGGAUAAGGUGAUCUCUUGGAAAGUCCUCAUGUUGUAUCCC
RNAcentral lists this ribosomal RNA (126 nucleotides) under Malus domestica (apple). Lineage: Eukaryota; Viridiplantae; Streptophyta; Magnoliopsida; Rosales; Rosaceae. The record is from RNAcentral.